This 723-nucleotide ribosomal RNA is filed under the name Agrobacterium tumefaciens. RNAcentral's name for it is "bacterial SSU rRNA". It matches the Rfam family "Bacterial small subunit ribosomal RNA", at positions 108 to 870 of the family's 1533-position model. The record is from RNAcentral. Lineage: Bacteria; Pseudomonadati; Pseudomonadota; Alphaproteobacteria; Hyphomicrobiales; Rhizobiaceae.
GAGUAACGCGUGGGAACAUACCCUUUCCUGCGGAAUAGCUCCGGGAAACUGGAAUUAAUACCGCAUACGCCCUACGGGGGAAAGAUUUAUCGGGGAAGGAUUGGCCCGCGUUGGAUUAGCUAGUUGGUGGGGUAAAGGCCUACCAAGGCGACGAUCCAUAGCUGGUCUGAGAGGAUGAUCAGCCACAUUGGGACUGAGACACGGUCCAAACUCCUACGGGAGGCAGCAGUGGGGAAUAUUGGACAAUGGGCGCAAGCCUGAUCCAGCCAUGCCGCGUGAGUGAUGAAGGCCUUAGGGUUGUAAAGCUCUUUCACCGGAGAAGAUAAUGACGGUAUCCGGAGAAGAAGCCCCGGCUAACUUCGUGCCAGCAGCCGCGGUAAUACGAAGGGGGCUAGCGUUGUUCGUAUUUACUGGGCGUAAAGCGCACGUAGGCGGAUAUUUAAGUCAGGGGGUGAAAUCCCAGAGCUCAACUCUGGAACUGCCUUUGAUACUGGGUAUCUUGAGUAUGGAAGAGGUAAGUGGAAUUCCGAGUGUAGAGGUGAAAUUCGUAGAUAUUCGGAGGACCACCAGUGGCGAAGGCGGCUUACUGUCCAUUACUGACGCUGAGGUGCGAAAGCGGGGGGAGCAAACAGGAUUAGAUACCCUGCUAGUCCACGCCGUAACGAUGAAUGUUAGCCGUCGGGCAGUAUACUGUCGGUGGCGCAGCUAACGCAUAAACAUUCC